GGACGGUUAGCUCAAUUGGUUAGAGCGUCCCGGUCACAUCGGGAAGGUUGUAGGUCCGAGUCCUAUACCGUCCA
RNAcentral lists this transfer RNA (74 nucleotides) under bacterium. RNAcentral's name for it is "tRNA-Val". It matches the Rfam family "tRNA". From Rfam's summary of the family: Transfer RNA (tRNA) molecules are approximately 80 nucleotides in length. Their secondary structure includes four short double-helical elements and three loops (D, anti-codon, and T loops). The record is from RNAcentral. RNAcentral also lists the same sequence under 1 other name.